Molecule: long non-coding RNA, 2157 nt
Organism: Triticum aestivum (bread wheat)
Lineage: Eukaryota; Viridiplantae; Streptophyta; Magnoliopsida; Poales; Poaceae
Exons: 9
Source: RefSeq, a predicted model, not a curated record
GCCUUCCUUCUCCCGCACUCACCCCGCCUCCCUCUCCUCUUCCUCUCCCCCUAGCGCCGCCGCACCCGCGCCUCCCUCUCCCCCUAGCGUCGCCCGCACCCGCGCCUCCCUCUCCUCCUCUCGCCCCUAGCGCCGCCACCACUUCCUCCUUCCCCAUCGCCGCCUGGCCUCCUCCCCUCACGUUCUCCUCUUUCCACCCUUCCGAUCUGGCGCCGCCCAAACCCUAACGCCCCGGCCCGGCCCCGGCUCCCACAGGAGGGAAGGAGGAAUGGCGUGGCGAGGCAAAGCCGCACCCGAGGCUGACCAGUAGGCCUCCGCCAAGGCCGCGCCCAAGGCUGACCAGUAGGCCACGGUCACCAAGCGCCCGCACAAGGGAACCACGUCGGGGAAGAAGAAGCCGGCGCCCAAGUCCGUUGCUGCUGCACGCCCUCUCUAGCCGCCUCUCAUCGUCCUCACGUUCGGCAGAAGGAGGACGAGGACGUUGAGCGGACAUGGGCUAUCACUCUCUCCGCGGGCGAGCUCGAGCGCUAGAGCAUUAGCGAGGACCUCCGCGAGUUCGUCAACGGCAUGACCGUAAUCACCUUCCGUGACUUCCCCCUUGCAAGAUGUGUUGGAGCCGUCGGAUGUGUCCACGUUGUUGAAUGUGCCUCAGCAUCUGAACGAAUGGCAGGCUAGGGAUACCACUCACGUCCUCUCGCCCGUCAGGAUUUUGUUUCCAUUAACCAUUUCAGUCAUGGGAGAUUUGGUUUAUGUGGCUCUCCAUCGAUGGAAUGCCGAUGAAUGCACAUAUGAACAUACAUACAUAGUUCUGUUUUGCUUUAGAAUUCAGUGUCAGGUACCAUCCCUCCAUGAGGUUUUAUCCAGUGUCUUUCUCUUUCCUUAAUAAUUGUUGCACUUUUGAUUGAAGAAAACUCUAUGGAGGUUGCUGAUUUGGAGCUCAGCUAGGGAUGCUCUAAAUUUCAUGGUUGUUGCUUGAUGUGGAAUAUGCAACUGGAACCGGCGACCAGCCCUUCCUCGCCCUCAGCCUCGACACCACCACUGACGCCUCCAGGAGCAGUGGGGCAUCGCCGGUGGCGCCGGCAAGGCAAUGGUUGUGGUUAGGCUUUAGUGUCAGGUUCCUCACAGUUGUAGCUGUUGGGGAAACACUGCUAUGCUCGCUAUCCGGUGGUGGGGUUUGGGCAUGCCACUUGUGCUCCUUCGGAUUGGCAUGGAUGCCUCCGCGCUCGGAGUCUGCUGUAUCUACGGGUUCCUAGGUGUUGUCAUAUGCUCCAGAUUUUAUAUGGCCCAUUGUAUAAGAUGCAGUUUGGAUUAUUAAUCUGGAACAACUAUAUCAUGGAGGUGUUGUUUAAGGUUCCCUUGCUAAUUUUAUCUUAAGCUGCAGUUCUGCAUCUUUGGGAGGUUAGGAGACCAUCAACCGUAAGGAGGAAUAAAAAGAAGUUCAGAAGCCAAGGACCAUCUUCAACCUGAUUUUAGGCAUCCUCAAGUAAAGAAGCUUGAGGUGGCACAAAGGUCAAUAGGCGACAUAUCAGUAGAGCUUGAUCCUGUGGAUUCUCCUGAACUAAAGCUUACUGAUAAAACAGAGCUUUCUAUGCUUGAAAGGGUUUUGCCAAUUUACAAGACCCAUAUGCGUCUCUCUCUGCAAAUUGCCUAUUUAGUAUUCCAAAUUUCAGUCAACUAUCAUACUGGAGAAAGCGGCGGCGGAUAUUUAUUCAUGUUGGAUUUGUACAGUUAUGGAAUUGUUGAUUCAAGCUUUAAAAUCCACUCCCUCUGGUGCUCCUCGCACGCAUGUCUGCGCCUCCAUCCUCCUCCCCAUCGGGACCAGGCAGGGGAAGGAGGAGUGCGGGCCACAUAGACGACAUGGUGACCGAGCUUAUUGUGGCGCCGUCGCCGUUCCUUUGGACGCGGUAGAAGGUGCGAUGGCAAAAGAGAGAGGAGAGGAGGUCCAGCCAUCUGCGGUGCUGCGCCACCGUCUAGAACGAGAUGCUCAUCCUGCUGCUCCACAACAUGGCAGUGUGCAGCUUGCAGAGGCAGACUUCGGGUUGGCAUGGUCGUGCUCCCUCCUCCUAGCUUUUCCGCUUUAGUUUGUUCAUGUUCGCUGUUCUGCAGGGAUGAGAGGGCUUUCUAACUGUAAUGAUGUUCUAGCUAGGAGAAGACGAA